GGGAGCAGGUCGGUGCCGUGCGCUCCGGGCUGUGCUCGCACACUCGGCCGGGAGCUGUCCCCGCUCCACCUCCUCCGUGGUGGUGGCACUCCGCCCCUGCUGAGACAUUUGUGCCAGCGACUCAGCUGGGAUGUGCCACGCUCUCCCUGGCCUUGCCUGGCCCUUGCCACAGCCCCUCGGCCAGCCUGGAGCCGCUGGCACGCAGUGGCUGAGCACGGGGCUGGGUCCUGCCGUCCAUCCCUCCGUCCAUCCCUCCGUCCAUCCCUCCGUCCAUCCCUCCGUCCAUCCCUCCGUCCAUCUGUCUGCCCGCAGGAGGUGAUCCAGCAGCAGAAGGAGGGACCCCUGCAGCAGCGACACUGUGCCAGCCGUGGUCCCCGGAGCCAGACACAUGGAGGCUUCCCAAGAAGGGCUGUGGGGCGAAGGUGACGAGGACCCUGUGCCAGCCCAGCCGAGGGGCUCCAGUGGUCCCCCGGGUGCCCAGCCCCAGCCGGACCCCCUGGUGCAGACGUGUCUCCUCCGGGAUCUGGAAAUGAGUCCCCUCGCCCACACACAGACCCUGCGCGACUUCGAGCAGGUGAGACGGUGAGGCGCUGGGACCCGGCAUGGCACC
This 610-nucleotide long non-coding RNA is filed under the name Cyanistes caeruleus (blue tit). Its description in RNAcentral is "lncRNA (ENSCCEG00000022011.1)". Lineage: Eukaryota; Metazoa; Chordata; Aves; Passeriformes; Paridae. The record is from RNAcentral.